AACCCAUGGUGAGGGCACCUUCUCAGUAAGUCUUUGUAUCUCUCCCGUCCAUCGUAAAUAGUUUCUAAGUCCAUCUGCAAAAACAAAGAGAUAUCAUUACGUAAUUU
Gossypium arboreum is the source of this 107-nucleotide non-coding RNA. The record is from Rfam. NCBI's taxonomy places the organism in Eukaryota, Viridiplantae, Streptophyta, Magnoliopsida, Malvales, Malvaceae.